This 418-nucleotide ribosomal RNA is filed under the name uncultured microorganism. RNAcentral describes it as "bacterial SSU rRNA". It matches the Rfam family "Bacterial small subunit ribosomal RNA", at positions 9 to 431 of the family's 1533-position model. The record is from RNAcentral.
GAGUUUGAUCAUGGCUCAGAUUGAACGCUGGCGGCAUGCCUUACACAUGCAAGUCGAACGGUAACGGGUCCUUCGGGAUGCCGACGAGUGGCGAACGGGUGAGUAAUAUAUCGGAACGUGCCCAGUAGUGGGGGAGUAACUGCUCGAAAGAGCAGCUAAUACCGCAUACGACCUGAGGGUGAAAGGGGGGGAUCGCAAGACCUCUCGCUAUUGGAGCGGCCGAUAUCAGAUUAGCUAGUUGGUGGGGUAAAGGCCUACCAAGGCAACGAUCUGUAGUUGGUCUGAGAGGACGACCAGCCACACUGGGACUGAGACACGGCCCAGACUCCUACGGGAGGCAGCAGUGGGGAAUUUUGGACAAUGGGCGCAAGCCUGAUCCAGCAAUGCCGCGUGCAGGAAGAAGGCCUCGGUUGUAACU